UACGGAGGGUGCGAGCGUUAUUCGGAAUUACUGGGCGUAAAGGGCGCGUAGGCGGCCUGGUAAGUCAGGGGUGAAAUCCCACGGCUCAACCGUGGAAUUGCCUUUGAAACUGCUGGGCUUGGAUCCUGGAGAGGGUGGCGGAAUUCCUGGUGUAGGAGUGAAAUCCGUAGAUAUCAGGAGGAACACCGGUGGCGAAGGCGGCCACCUGGACAGGUAUCGACGCUGAGGCGCGAAAGUGUGGGGAGCAAACAGG
RNAcentral lists this ribosomal RNA (253 nucleotides) under uncultured microorganism. RNAcentral describes it as "partial 16S ribosomal RNA". It matches the Rfam family "Bacterial small subunit ribosomal RNA", at positions 524 to 776 of the family's 1533-position model. The record is from RNAcentral.